Molecule: small nucleolar RNA, 84 nt
Organism: Aspergillus oryzae
Lineage: Eukaryota; Fungi; Ascomycota; Eurotiomycetes; Eurotiales; Aspergillaceae
Rfam family: A. fumigatus snoRNA Afu_294
Source: Rfam
UCCUAUGAUGAGCAACAAUUAUUUCGCUGUGUUCUUACUGAACAUCAUUGAAGAAAAACAAUUUUCACCUUGGAGAACUGAUAU